Molecule: ribosomal RNA, 468 nt
Filed under: uncultured bacterium
Lineage: Bacteria
Description: partial 16S ribosomal RNA
Rfam family: Bacterial small subunit ribosomal RNA
Source: RNAcentral
GACGAACGCUGGCGGCGUGCUUAACACAUGCAAGUCGAACGGAAAGGCCCUGCUUUUGUGGGGUGCUCGAGUGGCGAACGGGUGAGUAACACGUGAGUAACCUGCCCUUGACUUUGGGAUAACUUCAGGAAACUGGGGCUCAUACCGGAUAGGAGCUCCUGCUGCAUGGUGGGGGUUGGAAAGUUUCGGCGGUUGGGGAUGGACUCGCGGCUUAUCCGCUUGUUGGUGGGGUAGUGGCUUACCAAGGCUUUGACGGGUAGCCGGCCUGAGAGGGUGACCGGCGACAUUGGGACUGAGAGACGGCGCAGACGGCUACGGGAGGCAGCAGGGGGGAAUAUGGCACAAUGGGGGGAAGCCUGAUGCAGCAACGCCGCGUGCGGGAUGACGGCCUUCGGGUUGUAAACCGCUUUCGCCUGUGACGAAGCGUGAGUGACGGUAAUGGGUAAAGAAGCACCGGCUAACUACGUG